GACGAACGCUGGCGGCGUGCCUAAUACAUGCAAGUCGAGCGGACCUUUCGGGGUCAGCGGCGGACGGGUGAGUAACACGUGGGCAAUCUGCCCGAUACUCUGGGAUAACGCUUGGAAACGAGUGCUAAUACCGGAUGGUCUUCUUGGCCGCAUGGCCGAGAAGGAAAAGACGCGUUCGCGUCGGUGUCGGAUGAGCCCGCGGCGCAUUAGCUAGUUGGUGAGGUAACGGCCCACCNAAGGCGACGAUGCGUAGCCGACCUGAGAGGGUGACCGGCCACACUGGGACUGAGACACGGCCCAGACUCCUACGGGAGGCAGCAGUAGGGAAUCUUCCACAAUGGGCGAAAGCCUGAUGGAGCAACGCCGCGUGAGUGAUGAAGGCCUUCGGGUUGUAAAACUCUGUCAUUCGGGACGAACCGGAGUCUGAGGAAAUGCAGACUCUCUGACGGUACCGGAGGAGGAAGCCCCGGCUAACUACGUGCCAGCAGCCGCGGUAAUACGUANGGGGCAAGCGUUGUCCGGAUUCACUGGGCGUAAAGCGCGCGCAGGCGGUGAUGUAAGUCUGANGUGAAAACCCGAAGCUCAACUUCGGGACUGCCUUGGAUACUGCGUCACUUGAGGAUAGGAGAGGCAAGGGGAAUUCCACGUGUAGCGGUGAAAUGCGUAGAGAUGUGGAGGAACACCUGUGGCGAAGGCGCCUUGCUGGCCUAUUUCUGACGCUGAGGCGCGAAAGCGUGGGGAGCAAACAGGAUUAGAUACCCUGGUAGUCCACGCUGUAAACGAUGAGUGCUAGGUGUAGGUGGGCUCAUACCCAUCUGUGCCGAAGCUAAUGCAUUAAGCACUCCGCCUGGGGAGUACGGUCGCAAGACUGAAACUCAAAGGAAUUGACGGGGGCCCGCACAAGCAGUGGAGCAUGUGGUUUAAUUCGAAGCAACGCGAAGAACCUUACCAGGACUUGACAUCCCAUAGACCAGUCUAGAGAUAGACUCUCCCUUCGGGGCUGUGGUGACAGGUGGUGCAUGGUUGUCGUCAGCUCGUGUCGUGAGAUGUUGGGUUAAGUCCCGCAACGAGCGCAACCCUUACUUUGUGUUGCCAGCAUUCAGUUGGGCACUCACAAGGGACUGCCGCCGAUAAGGCGGAGGAAGGUGGGGAUGACGUCAAAUCAUCAUGCCCCUUAUGUCCUGGGCUACACACGUGCUACAAUGGGCGGUACAACGGGAUGCGAAGCCGCGAGGUGGAGCCAAACCCUGAAAACCGUUCGUAGUUCGGAUUGUAGGCUGCAACUCGCCUACAUGAAGCCGGAAUUGCUAGUAAUCGCGGAUCAGCAUGCCGCGGUGAAUCCGUUCCCGGGCCUUGUACACACCGCCCGUCACACCACGAGAAUGGGCAACACCCGAAGUCGGUGGGGUAACCUUUACGGGAGCUAGCCGCCGAAGGUGGGGCCUGUGAUUGGGGUG
This 1457-nucleotide ribosomal RNA is filed under the name uncultured bacterium. RNAcentral describes it as "bacterial SSU rRNA". It matches the Rfam family "Bacterial small subunit ribosomal RNA". The record is from RNAcentral.